CCUACGGGUGGCAGCAGUGGGGGAUUUUGCACAAUGCGGGGAACACUGAUGCAGCGACGCCGCGUGAGUGACGAAGGCCUUCGGGGCGUAAAGCUCUGUCAACAGGGAAGAAAAUGACGGUAACUGACGAAGAAGCCACGGCUAACUACGUGCAAGCAGCCGCGGUAAUACGGAGGGGGCGAGCGUUGUCCGGAGUGACUGGGGGUAAAGGGGACGUAGGCGGCGUUGUAAGUCAGUAGUGAAAGCCUAGAGCUCAACUUUAGUACGGCUAGUGGUACUAUAAGUCUAGAGUGCCGGAGAGGAUUGCAGAAUUCCUGGUGUAGCGGUGAAAUGCGUAGAUAUCAGGAGGAACACCGUUAGCGAAGGCGGCCAGCUGGCUGGAAACUGACGCUGAGGCGCGAAAGCGUGGGGAGCAAACAGGAUUAGAUACCCCAGUAGUC
RNAcentral lists this ribosomal RNA (440 nucleotides) under uncultured bacterium. Its description in RNAcentral is "partial 16S ribosomal RNA". It matches the Rfam family "Bacterial small subunit ribosomal RNA", at positions 338 to 795 of the family's 1533-position model. The record is from RNAcentral.